This 519-nucleotide ribosomal RNA is filed under the name uncultured eukaryote. RNAcentral describes it as "SSU rRNA". It matches the Rfam family "Eukaryotic small subunit ribosomal RNA", at positions 1161 to 1699 of the family's 1831-position model. The record is from RNAcentral.
AGGGCACCACCAGGAGUGGAGCCUGCGGCUUAAUUUGACUCAACACGGGAAAACUCACCCGGCCCGGACACUGGAAGGAUUGACAGAUUGAGAGCUCUUUCUUGAUUCAGUGGGUGGUGGUGCAUGGCCGUUCUUAGUUGGUGGAGUGAUUUGUCUGGUUAAUUCCGAUAACGAACGAGACUCUAGCCUACUAAAUAGAUCGUCGGCUUACAAACGCCGGCGAGACUUCUUAGAGGGACAGGCGGCGAUUCAGCCGCACGAAACAGAGCAAUAACAGGUCUGUGAUGCCCUUAGAUGUCCGGGGCCGCACGCGCGCUACACUGAAGUGAUCAGCGUGCUUUUUCAACCUACUCUGUCAAGAGUGGGGAACCCAAUGAACCUUCUUCGUGAUUGGGAUAGGGGAUUGUAAUUAUUCCCCUUGAACGAGGAAUUCCCAGUAAGCGCGAGUCAUAAGCUCGCGUUGAUUACGUCCCUGCCCUUUGUACACACCGCCCGUCGCUACUACCGAUUGAAUGUUUU